Molecule: small nuclear RNA, 185 nt
Organism: Esox lucius (northern pike)
Lineage: Eukaryota; Metazoa; Chordata; Actinopteri; Esociformes; Esocidae
Gene: U1
Rfam family: U1 spliceosomal RNA
About the family: U1 is a small nuclear RNA (snRNA) component of the spliceosome (involved in pre-mRNA splicing). Its 5' end forms complementary base pairs with the 5' splice junction, thus defining the 5' donor site of an intron.
Source: Ensembl
UUAAAAAACUGGCGUCCCUUAACAAUGUUAGGGGUUGACGUAAAGAUCUUGUCCAAAGCUAUCUUUGGACAUGCUAUCUUCAGCCAUUGCACUCCGGCUGUGCUGACCCCUGCGAAUUUCCCAAAUGUGGAAAUCUCGAUUGCAUAAUUUCUAGUAGUGGGGGACUGCAUUCGCGCUCUCCCCUG